This 315-nucleotide ribosomal RNA is filed under the name uncultured bacterium. Its description in RNAcentral is "bacterial SSU rRNA". It matches the Rfam family "Bacterial small subunit ribosomal RNA", at positions 208 to 507 of the family's 1533-position model. The record is from RNAcentral.
GAUCUUCGGACCUCGCGCUAUUGGAUGAGCCCGCGUCGGAUUAGCUUGUUGGUGAGGUAAAAGCUCACCAAGGCGACGAUCCGUAGCUGGUCUGAGGAGGACGAUCAGCCACACUGGGACUGAGACACGGCCCAGACUCCUACGGGAGGCAGCAGUGGGGAAUAUUGGACAAUGGGCGCAAGCCUGAUCCAGCAAUGCCGCGUGUGUGAAGAAGGCCCUAGGGUUGUAAAGCACUUUCAGUUGGGAAGAAACGCAGGGUGUUAAUACCACCCUGUAAUGACGUUACCGACAGAAGAAGCACCGGCUAACUCCGUG